Molecule: ribosomal RNA, 560 nt
Filed under: uncultured Rhizophagus
Lineage: Eukaryota; Fungi; Glomeromycota; Glomeromycetes; Glomerales; Glomeraceae
Description: bacterial SSU rRNA
Rfam family: Eukaryotic small subunit ribosomal RNA
Source: RNAcentral
GGCACGACACCGGAGAGGGAGCCUGAGAAACGGCUACGMCAUCCAWCGGAUGGCGGCACGCGCCGCAAAUUACCAAUCCCGACACGGGGAGGUAGUGACAAUAAAUAACAAUACGGGGUUCUUUAGGAUCUCGUAAUUGGAAUGAGUACAAUUUAAAUCUCUUAACGAGGAACAAUUGGAGGGCAAGUCUGGUGCCAGCAGCCGCGGUAAUUCCAGCUCCAAUAGCGUAUAUUAAAGCUGUUGCAGUUAAAAAGCUCGUAGUUGAAUUUCGGGGUUAGUAGGUUGGUCAUGCCUCUGGUAUGUACUGAUCUCACUGAUUCCUCCUUCUCCUGAUGAAACCUUAAUGCCAUUAAUUUGGGUGUUUUGGGGAAUUUGGACUGUUGCUUUGAAAAAAWUUAGAGUGUUUAAAGCAAGCUAANGCUUGAAUACAUUACCAUGGAAAWAAUGAAAUAGGACGUUCGAUCCUAAUUUUUGUUGGNUUNCUACGAUUGACGUAAUGGAUUAAUAGGGAUAAUUGGGGGCGUUUAUUAUUCGACUUGUCCAAGUGAAAUUUCUUGGAU